UUCCAGUGAAUAGAAGAACUGUGAUUGGUUAUUGCGCUAGCUUAAAACCGCCUCCUGAAGCCUGAUUGGCAUCUUUAGGGUUGCCAUGAUUGGUUAUAGUAGGUGGAAUUCCCCGCCUUCCAUUGAUGCACCGAGGACUGCUGGCCAUUGGUCGUUGCUACACUGUACUCGUGACAGAGGGGGGCUGGUCCAAUUCAAAGAACAUUUUUUGAGAAAAAAGGAAAACUUCCAAAGUGGGUGUACGGUCGUUUUUUAGGCGAAGCUGUGUCUUCUGUUCGUGUUUGCUUAUUUUUUUUAAUCAAUUCGCGUAACUCGACAUGAAGAUUACUCCCUUUAGUUACUUGUUUUGUCGUUGCUUCUUUUAUGUAUUUUUUUUUUUUGCUUCUGCACGAGUUUCUUGAAGUGUGCACCUCCGCAGUGCAAGUCCGAUCCGGUGCUCGCCGAAAGGAGCCUAAGCUGCGCGGGGCCCUCAGUCGCCAGGCAAAAGGAAAGGGAAACCGGCCAAAGAGGGCGAAAAAGACAAAGAACAUGGCGAGAGUUAGCGGGCAGCGCGCCCUCUCGUUUGCGGUUUUCAAUCAUCUCUGCAAUCCGCUCAUCGCCUGACAAGUCAACUUUAGAGGGAAACGACGUUGCGCCCGCAGGCUGGAGAGGUCACACAAUGUUGUCUUGACCGGAUUUGCCUCAGUGGAAUAAAGAAGUGAUCUCCUACUUUUAAUGGUGAUUAUCUUCAGAAUCUUUGUUUGUAUGUGGUGAGGCUGCACAGAUAUUUGCCUGCUAAAUGGAGUCCAUUGUAGAAUUGAAACUCCACUGGAGAGCACCACUGGGCUGCUCAGUUACCAGAAGGAUAAAAUUGCAGAUGUGCGUCAAGCACUAGGCAGCAAAAAACUCCAGCAUUAUUCAGACAGAUCAUAUUCAGUGAAAUAUUAAAGUUCCUUGAAGAAUACCCUGCUAAGCUGAACAAUGCUGGAUUCACAUCGCGGCAUGUCAUGCUACAGAUAACCUCUUUGGGUGACCACUUAUUUAAAUGGAAAUGUGUUCUGGUGAAGUGAAACGAAGAGUUUGAAACUCUGAGCGGCAGGUGGUGUAAACAUCCUACACUCUCAGCUUUGGAAAGUGGAGAGGCUGGGAGCAGGGUGUUUGCGCUGUCUCCCUUGGAUAAGCAGCUCCCCUUAAAGUUUUUAGUAUUACUUUAUUUAUUGAACUAUACUAAAAAUAGCAUCUUCAGUGUGGCCAAAAAAUAAAACUAUAACAGAGAAUGCAAUAAACUAAGUGAAUGUUGCUGCCUUUAAGCCCAGUGCUAACAGUUUCAUUAUUUAUUGUAGUAAAUGAAGAAACAUAGUAUCAUCCUUAUCAAGUUAUCUUCCUUUACUUUUUUGUUUGCAUUAUCAAGCAUCUUUCUCUGAAACUACGUAGUAACCCGUAUUCUUUGGAGUUUUCAUUUCUUUUAGAACCGUUACAAAGCAAUUCAUAACAUGGUACUCGGUGUUUAAUGGAAGUAAAAAGUGCUUUGUUACUUAGCAGAUAUUUUUUUAUUGCUGUGAAGAAAAGGUGGGUUUUAAGCCAGAAUAGAAUAGAAUUUUUUAGGUAGUGGUCAGGGAAAUAAGGAAGUUGUGGGUUCAGUUUCACAUUGUUCUUUUACAACUGUCUUUAAAUCGUAAAUAUGUCAAAAUAAAAGAUUAUAAAAUCUGAAAUGUUUCAGAAAAAUAAAA
Molecule: long non-coding RNA, 1709 nt
Organism: Polypterus senegalus (gray bichir)
Lineage: Eukaryota; Metazoa; Chordata; Cladistia; Polypteriformes; Polypteridae
Exons: 5
Source: RefSeq, a predicted model, not a curated record